ACGGGUGAGUAAUACAUCGGAACGUAUCCUGGAGUGGGGGAUAGCCCGGCGAAAGCCGGAUUAAUACCGCAUACGCUCUGAGGAGGAAAGCGGGGGACCUUCGGGCCUCGCGCUCAAGGGGCGGCCGAUGGCGGAUUAGGUAGUUGGUGGGGUAAAGGCCUAUCAAGCCGACGAUCCGUAGCUGGUCUGAGAGGACGACCAGCCACACUGGGACUGAGACACGGCCCAGACUCCUACGGGAGGCAGCAGUGGGGAAUUUUGGACAAUGGGGGCAACCCUGAUCCAGCAAUGCCGCGUGUGUGAAGAAGGCCUUCGGGUUGUAAAGCACUUUUGUCCGGAAAGAAAUCAUCGGGGCCAAUACCCCUGGUGGAUGACGGUACCGGAAGAAUAAGCACCGGCUAACUACGUGCCAGCAGCCGCGGUAAUACGUAGGGUGCGAGCGUUAAUCGGAAUUACUGGGCGUAAAGCGUGCGCAGGCGGUGCUGUAAGACCGAUGUGAAAUCCCCGGGCUUAACCUGGGAACUGCAUUGGUGACUGCAGCGCUGGAGUAUGGCAGAGGGGGGUGGAAUUCCACGU
RNAcentral lists this ribosomal RNA (576 nucleotides) under uncultured bacterium. RNAcentral describes it as "bacterial SSU rRNA". It matches the Rfam family "Bacterial small subunit ribosomal RNA", at positions 102 to 674 of the family's 1533-position model. The record is from RNAcentral.